Molecule: ribosomal RNA, 253 nt
Filed under: uncultured bacterium
Lineage: Bacteria
Description: partial 16S ribosomal RNA
Rfam family: Bacterial small subunit ribosomal RNA
Source: RNAcentral
UACGUAGGGAGCAAGCGUUGUCCGGAAUCAUUGGGCGUAAAGCGCGCGUAGGUGGCCUCGUAAGUCCGCUGUGAAAGUCAAAGGCUCAACCUUUGAAAGCCGGUGGAUACUGUGAGGCUAGAGUACGGAAGAGGCGAGUGGAAUUCCUGGUGUAGCGGUGGAAUGCGCAGAUAUCAGGAGGAACACCAAUAGCGAAGGCAGCUCGCUGGGACGUUACUGACACUGAGGGGCGAAAGCGUGGGGAGCGAACGGG